CAAAAAAAGAAACAGAAAAAAAAAAAAUCGAGUGUCUCCAAGGACAUUUGAGCCGCUCUGAGUUUUCCGUUGCAAAUUUCCUCUAGAAAAUUCCUCCUCUCUUUCCUCUUGCACCUUGAACCUCUGGGCCUUGACUCAGUUCAUCUGCCUGCCAUGGGACGCCCUUGUGUGAUUCUCCAGUUACAGCACAGGCCCAUCUCUUUCCACAUAAUCUGAGGAACUCCUGUCCUCCCUCUUGGCUCCUGUUCUGCUCCCAGAAAAUGGGUUGACUUUAGUUUCUCCUGGCCUUGUUGGUGACUUCAUUAAAGAAAUGGAUGCCCGA
RNAcentral lists this long non-coding RNA (322 nucleotides) under Fukomys damarensis (Damara mole-rat). RNAcentral describes it as "lncRNA (ENSFDAG00000025226.1)". Lineage: Eukaryota; Metazoa; Chordata; Mammalia; Rodentia; Bathyergidae. The record is from RNAcentral.